CACGUAGUUAGCCGGGGCUUUCUGGUAAGGUACCGUCAAGGUACCGACAUAUUACUUCGAUACUUGUUCUUCCCUAACAACAGAGUUUUACGAUCCGAAGACCUUCAUCACUCACGCGGCAUUGCUCCGUCAGACUUUCGUCCAUUGCGGAAGAUUCCCUACUGCUGCCUCCCGUAGGAGUCUGGGCCGUGUCUCAGUCCCAGUGUGGCCGAUCACCCUCUCAGGUCGGCUACGCAUCGUUGCCUUGGUGAGCUUUUAUCUCACCAACUAGCUAAUGCGCCGCAGGUCCAUCUGUAAGUGACAGCAAAAGCCGCCUUUUAUCUUGCAACCAUGAGGUUGCAGGUUUUAUUCGGUAUUAGCACCGGUUUCCCGGAGUUAUCCCAAGCUUACAGGCAGGUUACCCACGUGUUACUCACCCAUCCGCCGCUCAUUCCACGAGUCGUCACCUCCGAAGAGGAUCAGUCUCGCUUCCUGCGCACGACUUGCAUGUAUUAGGCAUGCCG
This 503-nucleotide ribosomal RNA is filed under the name uncultured Bacillaceae bacterium. RNAcentral describes it as "partial 16S ribosomal RNA". The record is from RNAcentral. Lineage: Bacteria; Bacillati; Bacillota; Bacilli; Caryophanales; Bacillaceae.